GCAAUGUGAGAAAUCGCGACGGGGGGAUCCCAAGUGCCAUUCUUAACGGGAUGGCUUUUCAUUAGUGUAAAGAGCUUUUGGAAUAAGGGCUGGGCAAGACCGGUGCCAGCCGCCGCGGUAACAUCGGCAGCUCUAGUGGUAGCAGUUUUUAUUGGGCCUAAAGCGUCCGUAGCCGGUUUAAUAAGUCUCUGGUGAAAUCCUGUAGCUUAACUGUGGGAAUUGCUGGAGAUACUAUUAGACUUGAGACCGGGAGAGGUUAGAGGUACUCCCAGGGUAGAGGUGAAAUUCUGUAAUCCUGGGAGGACCGCCUGUUGCGAAGGCGUCUAACUGGAACGGUUCUGACGGUGAGGGACGAAAGUUAGGGGCGCGAACCGGAUUAGAUACCCGGGUAGUCCUAACCGUAAACGAUGCGGACUUGGUGUUGGGGUGGCUUUGAGCUGCUCCAGUGCCGAAGGGAAGCUGUUAAGUCCGCCGCCUGGGAAGUACGGUCGCAAGACUGAAACUUAA
This 507-nucleotide ribosomal RNA is filed under the name uncultured archaeon. RNAcentral describes it as "bacterial SSU rRNA". It matches the Rfam family "Archaeal small subunit ribosomal RNA", at positions 352 to 859 of the family's 1478-position model. The record is from RNAcentral.